ACGCUCGACACCUACGGGAAGCAGCAGUGGGGAAUAUUGCACAAUGGGGGAAACCCUGAUGCAGCGACGCCGCGUGGAGGAAGAAGGUCUUCGGAUUGUAAACUCCUGUUGUUGGGGAAAAAGAGGAUGGUACCCAACAAGGAAGUGACGGCUAACUACGUGCCGANAGCCGCCGGUAAGUACUGAGCGGGCGUGGCGAAGGACG
This 205-nucleotide ribosomal RNA is filed under the name uncultured bacterium. RNAcentral's name for it is "partial 16S ribosomal RNA". It matches the Rfam family "Bacterial small subunit ribosomal RNA", at positions 326 to 544 of the family's 1533-position model. The record is from RNAcentral.